RNAcentral lists this ribosomal RNA (1169 nucleotides) under Bacillus sp. PPS_03. RNAcentral's name for it is "bacterial SSU rRNA". It matches the Rfam family "Bacterial small subunit ribosomal RNA", at positions 40 to 1222 of the family's 1533-position model. The record is from RNAcentral. Lineage: Bacteria; Bacillati; Bacillota; Bacilli; Caryophanales; Bacillaceae.
CGUGCGGGCUAAUACAUGCAAGUCGAGCGAACUGAUUAGAAGCUUGCUUCUAUGACGUUAGCGGCGGACGGGUGAGUAACACGGGGCAACCUGCCUGUAAGACUGGGAUAACUUCGGGAAACCGAAGCUAAUACCGGAUAGGAUCUUCUCCUUCAUGGGAGAUGAUUGAAAGAUGGUUUCGGCUAUCCUUACAGAGGGCCCGCGGUGCUUAGCUAGUGGUGAGGUAACGGCUCACCAAGGCAACGAUGCAUAGCCACCUGAGAGGGGAUCGGCCACACUGGGACUGAGACACGGCCCAACUCCUACGGGAGGCAGCAGUAGGGAAUCUUCCGCAAUGGACGAAAGUCUGACGGACAACGCCGCGUGAGUGAUGAAGGUUUCGGGUCGUAAAACUCUGUUGUUAGGGAAGAACAAGACGAGAGUAACUGCUCGUACCUUGACGGUACCUAACCAGAAAGCCACGGCUAACUACGUGCCAGCAGCCGGGUAAUACGUAGGUGGCAAGCGUUAUCCGGAAUUAUUGGGCGUAAAGCGCGCGCAGGCGGUUUCUUAAGUCUGAUGUGAAAGCCCACGGCUCAACCGUGGAGGGUCAUUGGAAACUGGGGAACUUGAGUGCAGAAGAGAAAAGCGGAAUUCCACGUGUAGCGGUGAAAUGCGUAGAGAUGUGGAGGAACACCAGUGGCGAAGGCGGCUUUUUGGUCUGUAACUGACGCUGAGGCGCGAAAGCGUGRGGAGCAAACAGGAUUAGAUACCCUGGUAGUCCACGCCGUAAACGAUGAGUGCUAAGUGUUAGAGGGUUUCCCCCUUUAGUGCUGCAGCUAACGCAUUAAGCACUCCGCCUGGGGAGUACGGUCGCAGACUGAAACUCAAGGAAUUGACGGGGGCCCGCACAAGCGGUGGAGCAUGUGGUUUAAUUCGAAGCAACGCGAAGAACCUUACCAGGUCUUGACAUCCUCUGACACUCUAGAAUAGAGCGUUCCCCUUCGGGGGACAGAGUGACAGGUGGUGCAUGUUGUCGUCAGCUCGUGUCGUGAGAUGUUGGUUAAGUCCCGCACGAGCGCACCCUUGAUCUUAGUUGCUAGCAUUCAGUGGCACUUACGGUGACUGCGUGACAACGAAGAGGGUGGGCAUGACGUCAAUCAUCAUGCCUUUAUACCGGGCCUUACAGG